AUUAACUCAGCUUGAUUCGACUACUGAUCAUUGAUUCAAAUAUAGAUUAUUAUUACUUAUGAAUAGACCGGUUAUAACUAUUGAGACCCUCUAAUAGCCAAUCUCUCCUUAACUAGUCGAUAACCAAGGUACGACCGUUGGAUAUUUCCCUAAUCAAUAGACAACCCUAGAUACGAUCAUAGGAUUUAAUCAAUUGACAGCCUGAAAAACUAGAGAGACCCAAAUCCUAAUCAACACAUAUGAUGAUUCAUUUAAAUUAGAUUGUUUAUUCUCACAACACAACUCUCUGCUAUGUUAUUUGUCACAAACAUUAAAUUCUUCAUACGAUGAAUCCUUUAAUUGACAAUAGAUUAAGUUGAUAAUUAAAUAGUGGCCAAUUACCUAAUUAACAAACAUAAUCAUGAAAAUAAUACAGAGAAUAAACAAAUACCCAAAAAGCAAUAAAACAAUUAAAGCACAAGAAAGAUCUCACAGUAGUGAUGAAUCAAAGCUUCAUUAUCCUUCAACCAGAAAAAUAGGUUUAGUUCUUCAUAGAGAGAAGAGAAAAAUUAAGAUCUAGGGUUUUUUCUUUUUAAGUGUGCUUAAACGGUAUAGGACUUUAUUUCUUGGUCCAUACAUUACUCUGUUAGCUAUAAACCUAUGUGUGCUUGAUCCUGACAAUAAUGAUUUGCAUCCUGCUUGCAAAAAGGAAUUUUUGGAUAUGUCUGUGUUUGAAAGAACAGGUGUGGUCGAAUUCAAGGAGGGGAAUCUAAUCAAUAGACAACCCUAGAUACGAUCAUAGGAUUUAAUCAAUUGACAGCCUGAAAAACCAGAGAGACCCAAAUCCUAAUCAACACAUAUGAUGAUUCAUUUAAAUUAGAUUGUUUAUUCUCACAACACAACUCUCUGCUAUGUUAUUUGUCACAAACAUUAAAUUCUUCAUACGAUGAAUCCUUUAAUUGACAAUAUAUUAAGUUGAUAAUUAAAUAGUGGUCAAUUACCUAAUUAACAAACAUAAUCAUGAAACUAAUUUAGAGAAUAAACAAAUACCCAAAAAGUAAUAAAACAAUUAAAGCACAAGAAAGAUCUCACAGUAGUGAUGAAUCAAAGCUUCAUUAUCCU
RNAcentral lists this long non-coding RNA (1101 nucleotides) under Citrus sinensis (sweet orange). RNAcentral describes it as "long non-coding RNA (CSIN_LNC004846)". The record is from RNAcentral. Lineage: Eukaryota; Viridiplantae; Streptophyta; Magnoliopsida; Sapindales; Rutaceae.